Molecule: ribosomal RNA, 515 nt
Filed under: uncultured bacterium
Lineage: Bacteria
Description: partial 16S ribosomal RNA
Rfam family: Bacterial small subunit ribosomal RNA
Source: RNAcentral
GAUGAACGCUGGCGGCGUGCCUAAUACAUGCAAGUCGAGCGAAUGGAUUGAGAGCUUGCUCUUAUGAAGUUAGCGGCGGACGGGUGAGUAACACGUGGGUAACCUGCCCAUAAGACUGGGAUAACUCCGGGAAACCGGGGCUAAUACCGGAUAACAUUUUGAACCGCAUGGUUCGAAAUUGAAAGGCGGCUUCGGCUGUCCCUUAUGGAUGGACCCGCGUCGCAUUAGCUAGUUGGUGAGGUAACGGCUCACCAAGGCAACGAUGCGUAGCCGACCUGAGAGGGUGAUCGGCCACACUGGGACUGAGACACGGCCCAGACUCCUACGGGAGGCAGCAGUAGGGAAUCUUCCGCAAUGGACGAAAGUCUGACGGAGCAACGCCGCGUGAGUGAUGAAGGCUUUCGGGUCGUAAAACUCUGUUGUUAGGGAAGAACAAGUGCUAGUUGAAUAAACUGGCACCUUGACGGUACCUAACCAGAAAGCCACGGCUAACUACGUGCCAGCCGCCGCGGUAA